GACGAACGCUGGCGGCGUGCUUAACACAUGCAAGUCGAACGGUGAAGGGAUCAGCUUGCUGGUUCUGGAUGAGUGGCGAACGGGUGAGUAACACGUGAGUAACCUGCCCCCUUCUUCUGGAUAACCGCAUGAAAGUGUGGCUAAUACGGGAUAUUCUGGGUCUGUCGCAUGAUGGGUCUGGGAAAGAUAUUGUUUCGGUGGGGGAUGGGCUCGCGGCCUAUCAGCUUGUUGGUGGGGUGAUGGCCUACCAAGGCGGUGACGGGUAGCCGGCCUGAGAGGGGGGACGGUCACACUGGGACUGAGACACGGCCCAGACUCCUACGGGAGGCAGCAGUGGGGAAUAUUGCACAAUGGGCGCAAGCCUGAUGCAGCGACGCCGCGUGAGGGAUGGAGGCCUUCGGGUUGUAAACCUCUUUCGCCAGUGAAGCAGGCCUGCUCCGUGUGGGUGGGUUGACGGUAGCUGGAUAAGAAGCGCCGGCUAACUACGUG
RNAcentral lists this ribosomal RNA (489 nucleotides) under uncultured bacterium. Its description in RNAcentral is "partial 16S ribosomal RNA". It matches the Rfam family "Bacterial small subunit ribosomal RNA", at positions 28 to 507 of the family's 1533-position model. The record is from RNAcentral.